GAAAUGCGAAAAGUAAUGCGAAUUGCAGAAUUCAGCGAGUCAUCGAGUUUUUGAACGCACCUUGCGCUCCUUGGUAUUCCUUGGAGCAUGCCUGUUUGAGUAUCAUGAAAUCUUCAAAGUAAAUCUUUUGUUAACUCAAUUGGUUUCUACUUUGGUAUUGGAGGUCUUUGCAGCUUCACACCUGCUCCUCUUUGUUCAUUAGCUGGAUCUCAGUGUUAUGCUUGGUUCCACUCGGCGUGAUAAGUUAUCUAUCGCUGAGGACACUGUAAAAGGUGGCCAAGGUAAAUGCAGAUGAACCGCUUCUAAUAGUCCAUUGACUUGGACAAUACUUUUAUGAUCUGAUCUCAAAUCAGGUAGGACUACCCGCUGAACUUAAGC
Molecule: unclassified non-coding RNA, 378 nt
Filed under: plant metagenome
Description: partial contains 5.8S ribosomal RNA, internal transcribed spacer 2, and large subunit ribosomal RNA
Rfam family: 5.8S ribosomal RNA (bases 1-105)
Source: RNAcentral